This 214-nucleotide ribosomal RNA is filed under the name uncultured bacterium. Its description in RNAcentral is "partial 16S ribosomal RNA". It matches the Rfam family "Bacterial small subunit ribosomal RNA", at positions 120 to 334 of the family's 1533-position model. The record is from RNAcentral.
UGUAACCUACCCAUAUCAGGGGGAUAGCCUCUCGAAAGAGAGAUUAAGCCCGCAUAACAUCACGAUAUAGCAUUAUAAUGUGAUCAAAUAUUUAUAGGAUAUGGAUGGGCAUGCGGAACAUUAGCUAGUUGGUAAGGUAAUGGCUUACCAAGGCUACGAUGUUUAGGGGAUCUGAGAGGAUGACCCCCCACACUGGUACUGAGACACGGACCAG